Paramuricea clavata is the source of this 73-nucleotide non-coding RNA. The record is from the annotation of a GenBank genome assembly. NCBI's taxonomy places the organism in Eukaryota, Metazoa, Cnidaria, Anthozoa, Malacalcyonacea, Plexauridae.
GCCUCUGUAGCUCAGUUGGUUAGAACACUGCACCGGAAUUGCAGAGCGCUAGGUUCGAUUCCUGUCAGAGGAC